CUGUAAGCCUGUGAAGGUGUGCUGUGAGGCAUGCUGGAGGUAUCAGAAGUGCGAAUGCUGACAUAAGUAACGAUAAAGCGGGUGAAAAGCCCGCUCGCCGGAAGACCAAGGGUUCCUGUCCAACGUUAAUCGGGGCAGGGUGAGUCGACCCCUAAGGCGAGGCCGAAAGGCGUAGUCGAUGGGAAACAGGUUAAUAUUCCUGUACUUGGUGUUACUGCGAAGGGGGGACGGAGAAGGCUAUGUUGGCCGGGCGACGGUUGUCCCGGUUUAAGCGUGUAGGCUGGUUUUCCAGGCAAAUCCGGAAAAUCAAGGCUGAGGCGUGAUGACGAGGCACUACGGUGCUGAAGCAACAAAUGCCCUGCUUCCAGGAAAAGCCUCUAAGCAUCAGGUAACAUCAAAUCGUACCCCAAACCGACACAGGUGGUCAGGUAGAGAAUACCAAGGCGCUUGAGAGAACUCGGGUGAAGGAACUAGGCAAAAUGGUGCCGUAACUUCGGGAGAAGGCACGCUGAUAUGUAGGUGAAGUCCCUCGCGGAUGGAGCUGAAAUCAGUCGAAGAUACCAGCUGGCUGCAACUGUUUAUUAAAAACACAGCACUGUGCAAACACGAAAGUGGACGUAUACGGUGUGACGCCUGCCCGGUGCCGGA
Molecule: ribosomal RNA, 648 nt
Filed under: Escherichia coli
Lineage: Bacteria; Pseudomonadati; Pseudomonadota; Gammaproteobacteria; Enterobacterales; Enterobacteriaceae
Description: partial 23S ribosomal RNA
Rfam family: Bacterial large subunit ribosomal RNA
Source: RNAcentral